ACCGGCAGCUCAAGUGGUGGCCAUUUUUAUUGUGCCUAAAUCUUUCUUAUCCUGUUUGAUAAGUCUCUGGUGAAAUCCCGCAGCUUAACUGUGGGACUUGCUGGAGAUACUAUUAGACUUGAGGUCGGGAGAGGUUAGGGGUACUCCCAGGGUAGGGGUGAAAUCCUAUAAUCCUGGGAGGACCACCUGUGGCGAAGGCGCCUAACUGGUGUGUAAAUGAUGGUUUUUUUGGUGUGGCUUUUUUGUUUUGAG
Molecule: ribosomal RNA, 252 nt
Filed under: uncultured prokaryote
Description: partial 16S rRNA
Rfam family: Archaeal small subunit ribosomal RNA
Source: RNAcentral